UAGGGAAUAUUAGUAAUGGAGGAAACUCUGAACUAGCGAUACCGCGUGUGCGAAGAAGGCCNUUCGGGUUGUAAAGCACUUUUUGAGAGGAUGAGGAAGGACGGUACUCUCAGAAUAAGUCUCGGCUAACUACGUGCCAGCAGCCGCGGUAACACGUAGGAGGCAAACGUUAUCCGGAUUUACUGGGCGUAAAGCGCGUGUAGGUGGUACUGUAAGUAGGGCGCGAAAGCUCCUGGCUCAACUGGGAGAGGCCGUUCUAAACUGCAGAACUCGAGUUUGAUAGAGGAAGAUGGAAUUCCAGGUGUAGCGGUAAAAUGCGCAGAUAUCUGGAGGAACACCAGUGGCGAAAGCGGUCUUCUAGAUCAAUACUGACACUCAGACGCGAAAGCUAGGGUAGCAA
Molecule: ribosomal RNA, 400 nt
Filed under: uncultured bacterium
Lineage: Bacteria
Description: bacterial SSU rRNA
Rfam family: Bacterial small subunit ribosomal RNA
Source: RNAcentral